Non-coding RNA from Solanum tuberosum (potato), 139 nucleotides. Lineage: Eukaryota; Viridiplantae; Streptophyta; Magnoliopsida; Solanales; Solanaceae. The record is from Rfam.
CCUCUUAGUGAGGAAGAUCUUACAUUGUAUAUUCUUGGUGGCUUAGAUCCCGAUUAUGAUGCAUUGGUGGUCUCUAUUACCUAUAGAGUUGAAAUCAUAUCCCUUGCUGACUUACAUGGGUUUUUGCUAAGCCAUGAGA